Molecule: ribosomal RNA, 86 nt
Filed under: Paenibacillus peoriae
Lineage: Bacteria; Bacillati; Bacillota; Bacilli; Caryophanales; Paenibacillaceae
Description: partial 23S ribosomal RNA
Rfam family: Bacterial large subunit ribosomal RNA
Source: RNAcentral
GAAGACGACGAGGUAGAUAGGUUGGGGGUGGAAGUGCAGUAAUGCAUGGAGCUGACCAAUACUAAUCGGUCGAGGGCUUAUCCUAA